This 344-nucleotide ribosomal RNA is filed under the name uncultured Syntrophaceae bacterium. RNAcentral describes it as "bacterial SSU rRNA". It matches the Rfam family "Bacterial small subunit ribosomal RNA", at positions 1037 to 1382 of the family's 1533-position model. The record is from RNAcentral. Lineage: Bacteria; Pseudomonadati; Thermodesulfobacteriota; Syntrophia; Syntrophales; Syntrophaceae.
GGUGCUGCAUGGCUGUCGUCAGCUCGUGUCGUGAGAUGUUGGGUUAAGUCCCGCAACGAGCGCAACCCUUGUCUUUAAUUGCCAUCAUUUAGUUGGGCACUUUAAAGAGACUGCCGGUGUUAAGCCGGAGGAAGGUGGGGAUGACGUCAAGUCCUCAUGGCCUUUAUGCCCAGGGCUACACACGUGCUACAAUGGGCGGUACAAAGAGAAGCAACCUCGCGAGGGUGAGCAAAUCUCAAAAAGCCGAUCUCAGUUCGGAUUGCAGGCUGCAAUUCGCCUGCAUGAAGUCGGAAUCGCUAGUAAUCGCAGGUCAGCAUACUGCGGUGAAUACGUUCCCGGGCCUU